This is a non-coding RNA of Paramuricea clavata, 263 nucleotides long. NCBI's taxonomy places the organism in Eukaryota, Metazoa, Cnidaria, Anthozoa, Malacalcyonacea, Plexauridae. The record is from the annotation of a GenBank genome assembly.
ACUUGACUAAAUAUAUCUGUUUUUUGUGAACCACAGACAGCACAACACGUUUUCCUGCUCCGCAAAGCCAAAAUAAAUUUCCUUCGUGGACAUGAAUAAUUCAUACGCAACUGAGCCAUUUUGCCAAACUGCUCGAGAAUCUGCACGAGUCUCUCUCCUCCCCGGUUUAACGCCAUAUUGGGACAUAAAUCGGGCAGAGGCUUCCGCUAUUUUUUCCUUCCCCUCGCCCGCGCGCCGAUUUUCAGCGGUUGGCUUCAUACCAG